Molecule: long non-coding RNA, 3756 nt
Organism: Scophthalmus maximus (turbot)
Lineage: Eukaryota; Metazoa; Chordata; Actinopteri; Pleuronectiformes; Scophthalmidae
Source: Ensembl
AUGUGUGGGCGCUUACAAACCCUGAUGUGCCGUGCACGGAUGCAACUAGUGGCAGGCAGCUGUGUGAGGACUCUUGGUGUCCUGCGUCCCCUCCCCUCCACCCAUCCUGUUGCCAUCCCAUUCCUCACCAUCCAUCUGGACUGUGUGUGGGCCAGGCGCUCAAUAGGCGGGUCACUUCAGGCUUGUAUGAGCGAGUGCAGGCUUGCAGAGCUGAGGAUCCAACUUGCAGGGGGCCAAGAGUGGCAGCCAUUGCCAGCAGGGAUGUUUUGUCUAAAUGAAGCUUCUGUCGUUUAUUCCCCAUCUCGUUCUUCCUCCAUCUCUGUCGCAGUACGAGGUGGAGGUUUUUGUUCGCGGUCAGAUGAGCUUGUGUCCACACCAUGCUGUCCUGUAACCGGUUGGUCCCGCGCCGCGACUGGGAUCUCUUUGCACUUUCACGCUGCUGUAUAUCGACCGGGCCUCAGUGACACCACGGAUGCUGGAGACCUGCUCAGUGCUCUGUUCCCUGACUGUGUGAGGAGCUGUGAUUGGUCGAGCAAAGAGCCCGAAGAAGAGGACACGAGUCACUGCCAGCCUUUCAGAGCCUGUGUCUUCCCAGCAGCCAUGACUAGAGUUUCUACUUCCUACCAUCACUUUGAUGACUCACAUUCCAACAGUCAUAUCCCAUGGACAUUUAUGAAUGACAAGAAUUUAAAACACAUUUAAGGGGAUUUUUUUGUGAAAUAUUUUAGAAUGUGGUAAAAAGAAUGUAUGAAAGCUGAAAACAUGUAUUUAUGUCAUUCAAGAAAUUAUUUUUGUUACUUAUACUUUUUGAGUUCACUGUCUCAUUUAAGAAUUUAACUUACAUGUGUUGUUUCUUUUAGUUUCUUUAGAAUUAUUACACUCUCAGAAUAUAUAUUAUAUAAAUGAUUAGAAAUUGUAACAGUGUAGGGUGAAACAUUAUUUUGUAUCGUGCUAUUAAUUGUUAUUCUUUAGAAUGUCCUGAAUCACAAUAGUGUUUUAAUUUCAUAGAUUUUUACUGAAUGUAAGUUGAACACACGAGCUGAAAGGAAUAUGAAUCUAUUUUUCAUGAUGAAGUUUUUUUAUAUUGAUUUCUGCACAAGGAAAGUAGAGCUUGUGGUGUUUUGAGUCACUUACAGUAACUAUAUUCAUAGACCCCACAAGCCAGUGUAGCCAACGUCUUAAUGAAUAUGGGCAGAUAGACAAAAAAUUGCAGCCAAAUAAAAGUAUAAUAAAGGCAUCUAAAUCCUAACAAGCCUGCCUUUGUUCUUCCACUCCACCCACCACAAGUUGGCCGUGUGAAAGCAGGCGUUGUUGCGGCUUUGAGGGCAGCUCUGAGAGUUCCAUGCCCACCGGCCUUCAAUCACAUGGGAUGUCUGAGUUUGACAGUAUAAAGUCUUUCUUCUAGAACAAAAUAAGGCCCCUAAGCAAUAGUGGAUGAGCUCUUAGUAACCAUCCAGUCCACGGGGAGGUAGACCAAGCAUGGUAGUACAGCACACACAAAGUGUUGGUUAGGGAUGAGACAAUGGACCAGUGGAAACAUCACUGGAUGCUGCACCGCUCGUAAAUGUCUUACAUUUACUCACAGAACUAAAGGAUAUCUCGUUUUGUUUUUUGCACAAAAAUUCAGUUUUGCCAAAUAAAAACCAGAACAACAGUUUACUAAAUACCAGUUAAGUAAAGUUUUAGUAAUCCGUAUGGAUAAACUGAAAGGGAAAUAAUUAUUUUAUUUUCUAAACACUUGAUAUAAGAGAUACCCAAAGCAUCUUUCACUUCACAGAGGUUGUAUUGGAUUGUAGUGACGCUCUUCUACAAUGGAUUUCAUUUUGUACAUUUGUUUGUGCCCAUCUUGAACUUUUUAGAGGGCAUCAGAGAGGAUAAACCGCGAACGUACACACAAGCUUCCGUGUUCACUCACUGGCAGCGCGUAAGGAUUAAUUCCAGCCUUACAGGAAGAAGACACCACCGCUUCCUGGCCUGGCCAAAUCAAUAGGCAACAUUCUUUCUAGCAUAGCAGUCAAUACACAACACUUAAGGUGUCUGACGGAGCUAAAGAACACCAAUAAUUGUUAUUAAUGCCUCAGAUAUCCCCAAGCAUUGCGUUUAGACGCAAUAAAGACUCCUUCGGCUCGAGUCAAGUGUGUUUGGAAAUUGGAAGGUUAACACAAAAAAUAGUGACCGAUAUAUUAUGGUUUCUUUCCAAAUCCCUUGUAUGAUGUUGACGUUCUGAAGAAAUUGAAGCCACAGUAUUGGAGUGACCGUAGGGAUGGUGAUGUCAACAUGGUGGAUGAGCAUUAAAAUUUCACACAGACAUUGUGGUUGACUUUUUUUCUGCGUGUUUUUACUGGAAUUUCUAAACAACUGAAUUUGAUUCAGUCCCAGAUAAUAAAUAACUUUGGUGCCUACACUUAAUUUAUCCAAUAGUAGUCCAAUAAGCUAGAGUAAAAUGGUGAACAUUGUAAAUAUUAUACCUGGUAAAGAUCCACAUGUUAGCAUUGUUAUCGUCAGUGUUUGAGACGCGUGCUGAUAUUGUUCAGCUUUUGACAUUAAACUUCGACGGAAACAUGCGGCACAUGACAAAGUUUCAUUGAAGAAUCAACCCACCGUGAAGUCACCUAUUGGUUUGUGAACUGCCAAUUUGAAUUCGGCACUUUGGCCAGCGCCAUCUUGAUUUUCCUGGAAAACAGAAGUAACCACAUUUGGAGGAGGAGGGGUGUGAGUCUGUCCACUGCACGUUCACCCACACCUGCCUGACAUUGUAUCAACGCCCCAAUGUAAACCAUGCUUUAUCAUCUGUUUCACUCUAAAUCGGACCGUAAUUUACAAGAAUGCUGAAAUAGCAACUGAGAAUAUAAACUUCGGGAACAUGUUAAAUGACGUUAUUAAUCAAGUGAGCAGUAAAGUCAUUUUAUCAUAGAUCUUCUACCCAUAGAUUUAAUCUAUAGAUGGUUAUCUUUCUGGAACCAGUCGAGUCGCCCUCUGCUGGUCAUUUGAGAGAAUACAGGUUUUAGGCACACAGUAUUGGCUUCACUCUCCGGACCAUUCUUCUACACAGUCGAUGGUCCUUUCCAAAAAGAAAUGUUGAUUUUGGGCAUUUUUACCAGGUGAUUCUCCCUGUACUCAAAAGAGCAUUAUAAAAAGAAGCGAUUCAGUUUGCUGAAUGAAAUAAAUUAUUGAAACAAGGCGCCCUCACAUGUUGCAACGGGGACACGGCACACAAACAGGCUUUAAGUGCACCAAUCUGCGGUGGCUAUUACACAUCGCACACAAAGCCACUUUAUCAGUGCGAGCAGUUACCAAGUGAAGGACAGCUAACAACAAGCAUAUACCUCGCUUCCAUCAUAAACCACAUGUGGGUUCAGAACUGGUGAAGGUAACAAAAGACGAGCGCGUGUGCGCAUGUGUGUGUGUGUGUGUGUUCGGAGGAGGGCAUUCUAAAUUCAAUCAAGUGAAGGCCAUCUCCAGCAGGGUAACAGGGAGCGGAGGGGGGGAAGAUGAGGGGAAACUCAACUGAAGUUUCCACUGGGCCUGCUGUGCUCCUAAUGCAGCCUUGGAUGUAAUUGGGUCCCAGAAGGCUGUUCAUUAUCAGGGGUGAGCGAGGCAACAAAACAGAAAAGUCGCAGAAAGAGAAUGAAAGUGCCUCAUUCUCUGCUCGCUGCCUCCGUCCCGGCACCAUUAUGGGACAAGAGUUAAUUAAAAGAGCAGUUGAUGCUGCUGUUUUCCUCAUCAAUCUCACUUCGGCUCUUAUUAAGUUUGUAA